Molecule: ribosomal RNA, 253 nt
Filed under: uncultured bacterium
Lineage: Bacteria
Description: partial 16S ribosomal RNA
Rfam family: Bacterial small subunit ribosomal RNA
Source: RNAcentral
UACGUAGGUGGCAAGCGUUGUCCGGAAUUAUUGGGCGUAAAGAGUGCGUAGGCGGUUUUCUAAGUUUGGUGUGAAAUCUCCCGGCUCAACUGGGAGGGUGCGCCGAAGACUGGAAGGCUAGAGUAUGGGAGAGGUAAGCGGAAUUCCUGGUGUAGCGGUGAAAUGCGUAGAUAUCAGGAGGAACACCUGCGGUGUAGACGGCUUACUGGACCAUCACUGACGCUGAGGCACGAAAGCGUGGGUAGCAAACAGG